Molecule: ribosomal RNA, 497 nt
Filed under: uncultured bacterium
Lineage: Bacteria
Description: partial 16S ribosomal RNA
Rfam family: Bacterial small subunit ribosomal RNA
Source: RNAcentral
GAUGAACGCUGGCGGCGUGCCUAAUACAUGCAAGUCGAGCGAACGGACGAGAAGCUUGCUUCUCUGAUGUUAGCGGCGGACGGGUGAGUAACACGUGGAUAACCUACCUAUAAGACUGGGAUAACUUCGGGAAACCGGAGCUAAUACCGGAUAAUAUUUUGAACCGCAUGGUUCAAAAGUGAAAGACGGUUUUGCUGUCACUUAUAGAUGGAUCCGCGCUGCAUUAGCUAGUUGGUAAGGUAACGGCUUACCAAGGCAACGAUGCAUAGCCGACCUGAGAGGGGGGAUCGGCACAACGGAAACGAGACACCGGCCCAGCAUCCAAGGGAGGGAAGAAGAAGGAAACCUCCGGAAAGGGGGGAAGGCUUGACGAAGAAAGGCGGGGUGGGGGAGGAAGGCCUCCGGACCGUAAAACCUUGUUAUUAGGGAAGAAAAUAUGUGUAAGUAACUGUGCACACUUUGCGGGUACCAAAGAAGAAAGCCCCGCCAAAUUCCGU